RNAcentral lists this long non-coding RNA (1002 nucleotides) under Lotus japonicus. RNAcentral describes it as "long non-coding RNA (LJAP_LNC000476)". Lineage: Eukaryota; Viridiplantae; Streptophyta; Magnoliopsida; Fabales; Fabaceae. The record is from RNAcentral.
UUUAAUGUUUUUCAUCUUCAUGGAAUUUUACUUUUGAAGAACAACUCACCUUUUAAGCACACUUUUGAUAAUUUAAAACGCUUAUAAUUUCUCUUCUUCAUCUAUUUAAUCCCUCAACCAUCUAUUACUGUCGGGUUUUGUUCUUUAUAACAACUCACCUUUUAAGCACACUUUUGAUAAUUUAAAACGCUUAUAAUUUCUCUUCUUCAUCUAUUUAAUCCCUCAACCAUCUAUUACUGUCGGGUUUUGUUCUUUAUGAGUAGCAAUUGAAGUCUGGGUGUAGCGACAAGAAAGGUUGGGUCUUUGUGAGUAGCGAUUGGAAUCGGAUCCAUCCAGGUCUAUAUUUCUUGCUUUCAAUUCACAUACAUAUUUUCUUAGGGUUUCUUACCAUUUUUUUUUGGUGUUACAAGGCUCAGGUUUGUUAUCAUGAUGGAGUAUAUUUUUUAUUGUAGGAUUUGUUAGUAUGAAAUAGCCUUACUAUAUUCGUUCUUUAUCUUAUCUGAUUACGUUUUACUUGUAAUUUUGCGACUCUAGCAUAUUGCUGGACGCCUAGAGCGAGAGGGGACUUCUACCGAUCGGGGUAUGAGGGGUCAAAUACAGUCAGAUUCAAUGCAGAUAGGACUUGCUAUGCAACAUUUGGGUGUCGAACAAUAUUGACACUGCGUAUGGGACAAUCUUAUGUAUGUUUUGAUUAUUUUCUUAAGUGAUAUGGCUUACUUCAUUGUGUCAAAAUAUUGUUCAUGAUCAUAUUCCAAUUUCAGGCAGUAUCAGUUGUGAAUGUUGGACCAGCAAUUUAUAUUUCUCCAUCAGGGCCAAAUCCUAUAAUGGUGCAGGUUCGUCAUUUAUUUUGAACUAUUCACAUUAGCUGAUGUUUCAAUCAAGUAUUCAAGUUGAUUAACAUGCCAUAAACUGAAAUGUGAAAAUUAUGCAAGAUUAGCUUGGUUUAACUGCAAUUAGAUUGUUAGCAGCACAUUGAAGAUUGAAAGAAACACAGCUGAUAAC